Ursus americanus (American black bear) is the source of this 135-nucleotide small nucleolar RNA. The record is from Ensembl. NCBI's taxonomy places the organism in Eukaryota, Metazoa, Chordata, Mammalia, Carnivora, Ursidae.
CCCCUUUUAAAAGCACUCGGUGGGCCUUGACUAGUGACCUACUGAGCCGUCAAGGAAGGGUAGAGUAAAAACACUGCUUUUGGGUGAAGCAGCAGCGUGUUGUGUUGUUUUGCUUCAAUCGGUGGUGUGACAACG